Molecule: non-coding RNA, 1698 nt
Organism: Oryzias latipes (Japanese medaka)
Lineage: Eukaryota; Metazoa; Chordata; Actinopteri; Beloniformes; Adrianichthyidae
Source: RefSeq, a predicted model, not a curated record
GUGUGAGGCCGACAACUUCCUGUUGGUCGUGUUAUUGUUGUGGGGAGUUUUGUUGAGUUGCUAGUUUUGAGUAAAUAUGAGCGGAUUUCGGGUAAAAGAGAGGCGUUUGGUGUUUCAACGCGUGACAGAGACAUCACAACAUUGUUGUGUACCCCUGUGUGCGAAUUCGUCAAAGUACAACAGUAUUAUAAGCUUUCAUAGCUUUCCAGUAGAUGUGUCGGUGAGAGUCCAAUGGAUGGCAUUGGUAACGGCGGGAGGACUUCACCCCAAGCAAGACGAGUCGUGUUUGCAGCAGGCAUUUCCAAAUGGGUGAUUUUGUUAACAACACCGGGAAAUCGAGAAAGUUGAAGAAAGGGGCCAUCCUGAUCCUACUCUUUUUUUUUUUCCUGGAAUGAUUUUCAAAUACCGGCACCGAGGGCGAGCGUGUGGGAGCGGAGACCCAGACCAGAUAGCCCCCCUCCUCCUGUCCAUGACAUCGACUCAGAAGAAGAGAUGCAACUGGACACCCUGGCACCAGAUUAUGAUUAUUGUAUUACUGCUACAAUAGCAAUGGUCGCAGAUCGGUUAGCUGAGGAAAACGAUACACUUCCCCAGAAAGUUAAGGAGCUGGAACUACACAUUGAUGCUCUCCAGCUGCGGAGUUGUUUUGGACUGAAGCGGUUUGCAGGAUCGGACGAGGACAUCCGAUUUUAUACCAGAUUCCAUUCUUAUGACCACCUGAUGGCAUUCUGGAGGCUCAUCGAACCAGCAACAUCAAGGAUGAUCCGUGUGACAAGUGUGGCUAGAGAAGCAUCAGCCUCUGUGGCAGAGAAGACAACAGCAAACAGAUCAACUAAGUUGCUGCCCAUAGAUGAGUUAUUUCUUUUCCUCAAUUAUCUAUCAACUGGAUGCAGACAGAGAGAGCUUGGGCACCGAUUUAAUAUCCAUCGGACAACAGACAGCUCUCCUGUCCCCUGACAUGGCUGUGAUGGUGGACAAGGGCUUUAGGGUGGAAAACCUUGUGCCAGGAAAACUUCACAGGCCUGCCUUCCGCUCCAACAACAAUCAAAUGGCAGCACAGGACGUCCUGGAGACCCAAUCAAUUGUGCGGCUGCGAGUUCAUGUUGAAAGGCUAAUCAGGCGGGUUAAGGAGAACAAACUUUUUGACACUGUAAUCUCUUUGUCUAUUUCAGGGAGCAUUAGCCAGCUUUUCACUGCAGCUUCCAACUACCAAAAUGGACUUCUGGUCAAUGACUGGAGAGAACAUUAGAGCCAGGAAUUACUGAAGCGUGACAUCCAUCAAAGGCUGCAUCAUUCGACUGUCAAGCACCUUGGAGAGGCAACCUGUUCAUGUGGAAGGGCUGCACAUUCAGCAACAGUCUGCUGUCCCAGUGCUGCGGAAUUAACUCCAUACCAGUUUGCCUGCAGCACAAAAACUGCACACACACCACAACACAUUGAUAGGUUCGGGGAGGGGCGGCAGGUCUUCACCCACCUGGUCCUCUCCGCCUGGUGUGUGGGGAUCCUGUUAGUCGAAGCGGUGGCCGGGCAUGCAGUGCUGGGGGGUUGGUGGGCUGGAGGGGGGCGGUGGGCAACCAGAAGAAUGUGUUUGAGUGUGGGGACAGGCCAGGGGGCUAGCUCGCCAGUACCCACUGGGGCUCACCCUCCCUUUUGUAGAGGGGCAGCAGGGGUGUGUGGCAAUUCUACUCUGAAUUACUC